CUGCAGGAAAUCAGAUUCUGUUCAUAGAAAAUUUUGAAGAAGGAUUUUACACAGCUUACAUUAAGAAGGACAAUGAAGAUCAAAGAGUUUCUGUGAAACAUCAAGGAGAUUUUGAUGGAGUUAAAGUCUCAGUUGUUAAGGCUCCAGGCUGGUACAAAGACACAAAAGCUCCUGACUGGCUCAAACAUGAAGUUCAUCGUAGUGUUUCCAUGUGUGAUCCGGGGCCUCACGCUUUUCUCCUGGUUGUUCCUGUU
Oryzias melastigma (Indian medaka) is the source of this 254-nucleotide long non-coding RNA. RefSeq lists it as uncharacterized. The record is from RefSeq and is a predicted model, not a curated record. Lineage: Eukaryota; Metazoa; Chordata; Actinopteri; Beloniformes; Adrianichthyidae. The transcript is spliced from 2 exons.